GGGUUGUGAGGUUAAGCGACCAAGCGUACACGGUGGAUGCCCUGGCAGUCAGAGGCGAUGAAGGACGUGCUAAUCUGCGAAAAGCGCCGGCGAGGUGAUAUGAACCCUUGACCCGGCGAUGUCCGAAUGGGGAAACCCAGUGUGACUCGUCACACUAUCAUUAACUGAAUCCAUAGGUUAAUGAGGCGAACCGGGGGAACUGAAACAUCUAAGUACCCCGAGGAAAAGAAAUCAACCGAGAUUCCCCCAGUAGCGGCGAGCGAACGGGGAGGAGCCCAGAGCCUGAAUCAGCAGGUGUGUUAGUGGAAGCGUCUGGAAAGGCACGCGAUACAGGGUGAGAGCCCCGUACACGAAAAUGCACCUGCUGUGAGCUCGAUGAGUAGGGCGGGACACGUGGUAUCCUGUCUGAAUAUGGGGGGACCAUCCUCCAAGGCUAAAUACUCCUGACUGACCGAUAGUGAACCAGUACCGUGAGGGAAAGGCGAAAAGAACCCCGGCGAGGGGAGUGAAAAAGAACCUGAAACCGUGUACGUACAAGCAGUGGGAGCACAGGUUUACCUGUGUGACUGCGUACCUUUUGUAUAAUGGGUCAGCGACUUAUAUUCUGUAGCAAGGUUAACCGAAUAGGGGAGCCGGAGGGAAACCGAGUCUUAACCGGGCGUUAAGUUGCAGGGUAUAGACCCGAAACCCGGUGAUCUAGCCAUGGGCAGGUUGAAGGUUGGGUAACACUAACUGGAGGACCGAACCGACUAAUGUUGAAAAAUUAGCGGAUGACCUGUGGCUGGGGGUGAAAGGCCAAUCAAACCGGGAGAUAGCUGGUUCUCCCCGAAAGCUAUUUAGGUAGCGCCUCGUGAACUCAUCUCCGGGGGUAGAGCACUGUUUCGGCUAGGGGGCCAUCCCGGCUUACCAACCCGAUGCAAACUGCGAAUACCGGAGAAUGUUAUCACGGGAGACACACGGCGGGUGCUAACGUCCGUCGUGAAGAGGGAAACAACCCAGACCGCCAGCUAAGGUCCCAAAGUCAUGGUUAAGUGGGAAACGAUGUGGGAAGGCCCAGACAGCCAGGAUGUUGGCUUAGAAGCAGCCAUCAUUUAAAGAAAGCGUAAUAGCUCACUGGUCGAGUCGGCCUGCGCGGAAGAUGUAACGGGGCUAAACCAUGCACCGAAGCUGCGGCAGCGGCACGCAAGUGUUGUUGGGUAGGGGAGCGUUCUGUAAGCCGUUGAAGGUGUGCUGUGAGGCAUGCUGGAGGUAUCAGAAGUGCGAAUGCUGACAUAAGUAACGAUAAAGCGGGUGAAAAGCCCGCUCGCCGGAAGACCAAGGGUUCCUGUCCAACGUUAAUCGGGGCAGGGUGAGUCGACCCCUAAGGCGAGGCCGAAAGGCGUAGUCGAUGGGAAACGGGUUAAUAUUCCCGUACUUGGUGUUACUGCGAAGGGGGGACGGAGAAGGCUAUGUUGGCCGGGCGACGGUUGUCCCGGUUUAAGCGUGUAGGCUGGUUUUCCAGGCAAAUCCGGAAAAUCAAGGCUGAGGCGUGACGACGAGGCACCACGGUGCUGAAGCAACAAAUGCCCUGCUUCCAGGAAAAGCCUCUAAGCGUCAGGUAACAUCAAAUCGUACCCCAAACCGACACAGGUGGUCAGGUAGAGAAUACCAAGGCGCUUGAGAGAACUCGGGUGAAGGAACUAGGCAAAAUGGUGCCGUAACUUCGGGAGAAGGCACGCUGACAUGUAGGUGAAGCGGUUUACCCGUGGAGCUGAAGUCAGUCGAAGAUACCAGCUGGCUGCAACUGUUUAUUAAAAACACAGCACUGUGCAAACACGAAAGUGGACGUAUACGGUGUGACGCCUGCCCGGUGCCGGAAGGUUAAUUGAUGGGGUCAGCGCAAGCGAAGCUCCUGAUCGAAGCCCCGGUAAACGGCGGCCGUAACUAUAACGGUCCUAAGGUAGCGAAAUUCCUUGUCGGGUAAGUUCCGACCUGCACGAAUGGCGUAAUGAUGGCCAGGCUGUCUCCACCCGAGACUCAGUGAAAUUGAACUCGCUGUGAAGAUGCAGUGUACCCGCGGCAAGACGGAAAGACCCCGUGAACCUUUACUAUAGCUUGACACUGAACACUGGUCCUUGAUGUGCAGGAUAGGUGGGAGGCUUUGAAGCGUGGACGCCAGUCUGCGUGGAGCCGUCCUUGAAAUACCACCCUUUAAUGGCUGGUGUUCUAACGUGGGCCCCUGACCGGGGUUGCGGACAGUGUCUGGUGGGUAGUUUGACUGGGGCGGUCUCCUCCCAAAGAGUAACGGAGGAGCACGAAGGUUGGCUAAUCCUGGUCGGACAUCAGGAGGUUAGUGCAAUGGCAUAAGCCAGCUUGACUGCGAGCGUGACGGCGCGAGCAGGUGCGAAAGCAGGUCAUAGUGAUCCGGUGGUUCUGAAUGGAAGGGCCAUCGCUCAACGGAUAAAAGGUACUCCGGGGAUAACAGGCUGAUACCGCCCAAGAGUUCAUAUCGACGGCGGUGUUUGGCACCUCGAUGUCGGCUCAUCACAUCCUGGGGCUGAAGUAGGUCCCAAGGGUAUGGCUGUUCGCCAUUUAAAGUGGUACGCGAGCUGGGUUUAGAACGUCGUGAGACAGUUCGGUCCCUAUCUGCCGUGGGCGCUGGAAGAUUGAGGGGGGCUGCUCCUAGUACGAGAGGACCGGAGUGGACGCAUCACUGGUGUUCGGGUUGUCAUGCCAAUGGCACUGCCCGGUAGCUAAAUGCGGAAGAGAUAAGUGCUGAAAGCAUCUAAGCACGAAACUUGCCCCGAGAUGAAUCUUCCCUGAGACUUUAAGUCUCCUGAAGGAACGUUGAAGACGACGACGUUGAUAGGCCGGGUGUGUAAGCGCAGCGAUGCGUUGAGCUAACCGGUACUAAUGAACCGUGAGGCUUAACCUUACAACGCCGAAG
RNAcentral lists this ribosomal RNA (2926 nucleotides) under Salmonella bongori serovar 66:z41:- str. SA19983605. RNAcentral describes it as "bacterial LSU rRNA". It matches the Rfam family "Bacterial large subunit ribosomal RNA". RNAcentral also lists the same sequence under 1 other name. The record is from RNAcentral. Lineage: Bacteria; Pseudomonadati; Pseudomonadota; Gammaproteobacteria; Enterobacterales; Enterobacteriaceae.